This 253-nucleotide ribosomal RNA is filed under the name uncultured bacterium. RNAcentral describes it as "partial 16S ribosomal RNA". It matches the Rfam family "Bacterial small subunit ribosomal RNA", at positions 524 to 776 of the family's 1533-position model. The record is from RNAcentral.
UACGUAGGGUGCAAGCGUUAAUCGGAAUUACUGGGCGUAAAGCGUGCGCAGGCGGUUAUGUAAGACAGAUGUGAAAUGCCCGGGCUUAACCUGGGAACUGCAUUUGUGACUGCAUGGCUAGAGUUUGGCAGAGGGGGGUAGAAUUCCACGUGUAGCAGUGAAAUGCGUAGAUAUAUGGAGGAACACCGGUGGCGAAGGCAGCCCCCUGGGUCAAGACUGACGCUCAUGCACGAAAGCGUGGGGAGCAAACAGG